Molecule: long non-coding RNA, 437 nt
Filed under: Brassica napus (rape)
Lineage: Eukaryota; Viridiplantae; Streptophyta; Magnoliopsida; Brassicales; Brassicaceae
Description: long non-coding RNA (BNAP_LNC013884)
Source: RNAcentral
CAAAUUAUUGAUUACAUUUAUUUUGUAUUUAAAAUUUAGAGUUUUAAAAUAUAAGUUUAGAGUAUAUGUAAUAUGAUUUUGGGUAUGGUAUAUAUUUAAGUUUAGGGUUAGAGUAUUAGAUUUGAGAUUUGAAAUUAAAAUUAAUUUUUUUAAAUUAAAAAAAAAUAGAAUUUUAAGAAUUUUAGUUAGAGUUUAGGGGAUGUGAUUAAUUUAGGGUAUGAUAUAUAUAAGUAUAUAAUUUAGGGUUUGAGGCUUAGAUUUAUAAUUAAAAUAAGAAAAUGCUUGAGCUUUAGGGUUCUGUUUUAAGUUUAGGGUAUAAGAUUUAUGGUUUAGCUUGGGUUUAGGUUUUUUUGGAGGGUUGAGAAACGAAACGGAAUGAGAGGGAAGUGAAAAACGAGGAUGAGAGGGAAAAUGAAAAAGAUUAGACACUUGUUUUU